UUGUGCUCUGUUGUCUAACCGUGCGGCCGAAACACCAGCACCAGAAGCUACCGCGGGGGAAGGAUCUAGGUUGGGGAAACCAUGUGUCGCCGCCAUUACGGCUGGGAAAACUGCCGCCACCGCGGGACCUCGCCUGGGUUGCCGUUUGGGUCAUGUGGUCUGGCCUGGGGGCUUCACAACAUUGCCUGGGAGUUGAUCAUGGUUGUUCUGGACGGAAUGGUGCUCCGUGGCUCCAUCGAUUGCUCACCGGCACUGAAGCACCACCGCGGCGCCGCUUCAUGCUGCGGGCCGGCCUCACCACAACGCCUUAGACGUGAGGUCACGAGGAUCUGCAGAAUCAUCCUGGUACCUGGAAUCUCAAGUGCCAGGUGGUUUAGAGGAGUCACGCAACGAGGAGUUUGAUUUGAUCUAGGUGGCGUCUCCCAGUUGACUUUCUAGCGCCAAGGAUGGAUUUUAGAUCCUUUUAUAUUUAUCUUUUAUUUUGUAAGACUUCCGCUAUGUAAUAAAAACUCUGAUUAUAUUGUGACAUUUAUCUCUAUACACUCUGUUAUUAUAUAUGUUGUCUUCUUUGGCG
This 574-nucleotide unclassified non-coding RNA is filed under the name Zea mays. Its description in RNAcentral is "misc RNA Zm00001eb236890". The record is from RNAcentral. Lineage: Eukaryota; Viridiplantae; Streptophyta; Magnoliopsida; Poales; Poaceae.